UAAAAUGGAAUGAACCAGGAUUUCUAAAAAUGAGACAGGGGAAAUGGCUUUUUCUUUUUAUCUCCCAACUAAUUUUUAUGUGCACUAAAGUCUAAGAAUCACUGCCUCAAACCCAGUUGAGGGCCAGUGCCCUCAACACUCCCUUGAAGGUCACCCAAUGAUCUUUAAAUGCAUAAAUCCAAAGACCCUAAAGACCCUUUUCAAAUUAACCUUCCUAAAGCAUAACAAGGACCCUGCUGUUUUCCAGUCCUUACCUCCUGCUAUUCCUGUAGUUGGUAGUUCCUGCAGAAGGCCUGGGUGGCUUCCCGCCUCUCUGACUGCCUAACACUACUUCUUUCCCCAGAAGGCUCAAUCCCCAGUUUCUGCCAAUGCAAUGCCAGCCAGGCUUUAAGGCUAGUGCUUUCUUCCAAUAAGCGUCUCCCUACACUUUUAUCCACUGUAUUACUCACACAGAAUGGCCAAUGCACUCUUAUGAUACUUUUAAUCAUUUGUGUACCAUUCUCUCCCUCUUGUAGGUUCCUUGAGCCCUGAGGUUUUAUGUUUGCAUUUCUUAAAACUUUAAUGUUACAGAAUUCACACACCUCAUCUUACAGAGUUCCAC
Molecule: long non-coding RNA, 601 nt
Organism: Phyllostomus discolor (pale spear-nosed bat)
Lineage: Eukaryota; Metazoa; Chordata; Mammalia; Chiroptera; Phyllostomidae
Exons: 3
Source: RefSeq, a predicted model, not a curated record